RNAcentral lists this long non-coding RNA (737 nucleotides) under Prunus persica (peach). Its description in RNAcentral is "long non-coding RNA (PPER_LNC001355)". The record is from RNAcentral. Lineage: Eukaryota; Viridiplantae; Streptophyta; Magnoliopsida; Rosales; Rosaceae.
AGAGAGGGUGAGGGAUAUAAAGAAAGUUACAGCGGAAUUAUGUUUGUUGCGUUUCCUCGCUCUAGAGACGAGACAGAGCAUCACAAAGUUGGUCGUUUACCUAACAGGUAUUGCAGGAGAGUUUUACGGAAUAUUAAUUGGAUAAUUUAAUCCAUCCUAAGAGUUUUUCUCCAUGAUUUUUUUAUUUCUUAGUUUUGGCCUAUUAUGAGCAGAAAGUCGACAGGGAUAUAAUAUUACUAAUUUAAUGUGACCAAGUGAGAUUAGCACUCGUAAUGUCUGUAAAAGCUUUAAUACAAAGUUUUAUCUGGUAAAACCAGAUUAUAAAAAAAAAAAACUUUUAAACCUGAAAUCGAAGAAAGCUCACUGGAGAGGGUUUCAUUUUUCAGCUGGUGAUGAAGCGAAGAGUAGAGUCUGGAGACCAAGUGGCAAUUGGUAACAACUUUCGGGAUUAUGAUUUUUGCGGGAAAAAGCCGACACGUGGCGCUGGGUUGUGCAUGUGUUUCUGUAAUGGCAAUGAUGUGGACAAGGUGCGCAGUGCGCACGUUGUAUGUGGUUAAAUGAGUGGGAGUCUUUGCGUUGCUUGCAGAUGUCUGUCCUGUUACCUGUUAACCUGCAGGUUUUGCUUUGCCUUUUACCGAGGUCUUUUGGUGGUCUCCACACACCCCAGUCAAUGCUGAUUGUGAUCCAAAGGACCACCUCUUCUCUUCUCUUCUCCUCUUCUCUUCUCUUCUCUUCUC